Molecule: ribosomal RNA, 495 nt
Filed under: uncultured bacterium
Lineage: Bacteria
Description: partial 16S ribosomal RNA
Rfam family: Bacterial small subunit ribosomal RNA
Source: RNAcentral
GACGAACGCUGGCGGCGUGCCUAAUACAUGCAAGUAGAACGCUGAAGGAGGAGCUUGCUUCUCUGGAUGAGUUGCGAACGGGUGAGUAACGCGUAGGUAACCUGCCUGGUAGCGGGGGAUAACUAUUGGAAACGAUAGCUAAUACCGCAUAAUAUUGACUAUUGCAUGAUAGUCAGUUGAAAGGUGCAACUGCACCACUACCAGAUGGACCUGCGUUGUAUUAGCUAGUUGGUGGGGUAACGGCUCACCAAGGCGACGAUACAUAGCCGACCUGAGAGGGUGAUCGGCCACACUGGGACUGAGACACGGCCCAGACUCCUACGGGAGGCAGCAGUAGGGAAUCUUCGGCAAUGGACGGAAGUCUGACCGAGCAACGCCGCGUGAGUGAAGAAGGUUUUCGGACCGUAAAGCUCUGUUGUAAGAGAAGAACGAGUGUGAGAGUGGAAAGCUCACACUGUGACGGUAGCUUACCAGAAAGGGACGGCUAACUACGUG